AGAAACUUAGGAUAACACUAAACCAAGGGCCUUCAAAGUCCAAAAUAGAGGUGAAACCCCCCUAGUUUCUG
Molecule: transfer RNA, 71 nt
Filed under: Stenocercus ochoai
Lineage: Eukaryota; Metazoa; Chordata; Lepidosauria; Squamata; Tropiduridae
Description: tRNA-Trp
Rfam family: tRNA
About the family: Transfer RNA (tRNA) molecules are approximately 80 nucleotides in length. Their secondary structure includes four short double-helical elements and three loops (D, anti-codon, and T loops).
Source: RNAcentral